AUUGAACGCUGGCGGAAUGCUUUACACAUGCAAGUCGAACGGCAGCACGGACUUCGGUCUGGUGGCGAGUGGCGAACGGGUGAGUAACAUAUCGGAACGUAUCCAAUAAUGGGGGAUAACUAAUCGAAAGGCUGACUAAUACCGCAUACGCCCUACGGGGGAAAGCAGGGGAUCUUCGGACCUUGCGUUAAUGGAGCGGCUGAUAUCUGAUUAGCUAGUUGGUGAGGUAAAGGCUCACCAAGGCGACGAUCAGUAGCUGGUCUGAGAGGACGACCAGCCACACUGGAACUGAGACACGGUCCAGACUCCUACGGGAGGCAGCAGUGGGGAAUUUUGGACAAUGGGCGAAAGCCUGAUCCAGCCAUUCCGCGUGCAGGAUGAAGGCCCUCGGGUUGUAAACUGCUUUUGUACAGAACGAAAAGGUUUCUACUAAUACUAGGAGCUCAUGACGGUACUGUAAGAAUAAGCACCGGCUAACUACGUGCCAGCCGCCGCUGUAA
RNAcentral lists this ribosomal RNA (500 nucleotides) under uncultured bacterium. RNAcentral describes it as "partial 16S ribosomal RNA". It matches the Rfam family "Bacterial small subunit ribosomal RNA", at positions 30 to 523 of the family's 1533-position model. The record is from RNAcentral.